RNAcentral lists this ribosomal RNA (939 nucleotides) under Triticum aestivum (bread wheat). Its description in RNAcentral is "partial small subunit ribosomal RNA". Lineage: Eukaryota; Viridiplantae; Streptophyta; Magnoliopsida; Poales; Poaceae. The record is from RNAcentral.
AUGGAGUCUGGAGGAGUGAUUGCUGAAGCGGGCUGGGACUCGCUUGGCCUGACGUCGCAGGCUGAGGAGUCGGAGAUGAUGGAGCAGCUGCUUGGCACCUUCCCCUCCAACGGCGAGGAAGAACACCAGGAGCUACCUUGGUCUGUUCAGGCCACACAUGCAUACUAUGCCCACUGUAACGGUAGCUCUAAUGCAUACAGUUCCGCUAGUAGCAACAGUGUUGGUAGUCUCAUCCUUGAUGUGCCGUCGGAUUAUGGGGGCUUUUAUUUGGGCGACUCAAAUGGGAUCGGCUCCUGCACCGCCGCACUUGACCUGAACAUGGUUCAUGAGCAAGGUGCGGCUCAGUUUAUGGAUGCCAUCUUCAACCCUUCAUAUGGGAAUGGCGAUUCAAGCUGCGACAAUCUUGGAGACUCGAGCAUGAACUUGCUUGACUCCAUUGACACGUCCAACAAGAGAAAGCACCAGGAUCAAGGGAAAAUAGCUGACCAAACAAGUGGUCGGAAAUACUCAAGGAAGGCGGACUCGAAGCGGACAAAGAAGGCCAUGCAAUGUGAAGGCGACGAUGGCACCACUGCUGACACAAGCAAGCAAAGCUUGAGCUGCUGCACGUCUGAAAUUGACUCUAAUGCUUUUCAAGAGCCUCCUGUUGCCUCUAAGCCGAAGGGCAAGGCUCAGGCUGGCCGCCAGACAACCGAUCCCCAGAGCCUCUAUGCAAGGAAAAGAAGAGAAAAGAUCAAUGAGAGGCUGAAGGUACUACAGAACCUUGUUCCGAAUGGAACCAAAGUAGAUAUCAGCACUAUGCUUGAAGAGGCAGUGGAGUAUGUGAAGUUCUUGCAGCUUCAAAUCAAGCUCCUCAGCUCCGAUGAAAUGUGGAUGUAUGCGCCAAUUGCGUACAACGGGAUGAACAUUGGAAUCGACUUGAACCUCUCUCAGCACUGA